Molecule: ribosomal RNA, 616 nt
Filed under: uncultured Legionella sp.
Lineage: Bacteria; Pseudomonadati; Pseudomonadota; Gammaproteobacteria; Legionellales; Legionellaceae
Description: bacterial SSU rRNA
Rfam family: Bacterial small subunit ribosomal RNA
Source: RNAcentral
AGCUAGUUUGGUGGGGUAAGGGCCUACCAAGGCGACGAUCGGUAGCUGGUCUGAGAGGAUGACCAGCCACACUGGAACUGAGACACGGUCCAGACUCCUACGGGAGGCAGCAGUGGGGAAUAUUGGACAAUGGGGGCAACCCUGAUCCAGCAAUGCCGCGUGUGUGAAGAAGGCCUGAGGGUUGUAAAGCACUUUCAGUGGGGAGGAGGGUUGAUAGGUUAAGAGCUAAUUAACUGGACGUUACCCACAGAAGAAGCACCGGCUAACUCCGUGCCAGCAGCCGCGGUAAUACGGAGGGUGCGAGCGUUAAUCGGAAUUACUGGGCGUAAAGGGUGCGUAGGUGGUUGAUUAAGUUAUCUGUGAAAUUCCUGGGCUUAACCUGGGACGGUCAGAUAAUACUGGUUGACUCGAGUAUGGGAGAGGGUAGUGGAAUUUCCGGUGUAGCGGUGAAAUGCGUAGAGAUCGGAAGGAACACCAGUGGCGAAGGCGGCUACCUGGCCUAAUACUGACACUGAGGCACGAAAGCGUGGGGAGCAAACAGGAUUAGAUACCCUGGUAGUCCACGCUGUAAACGAUGUCAACUAGCUGUUGGUUAUAUGAAAAUAAUUAGUGGCGC